ACUGCGAGUGAAGCGGCAAAAGCUCAAAUUUGAAAUCUGGUACCUUUGGGUGCUCGAGUUGUAAUUUGGAGAGGCAACUUCGGAGGGGGCGCUGGCCUAAGUUCCUUGGAACAGGACGUCACAGAGGGUGAGAAUCCCGUGCUUGGCUGGCUGUCCUCCUUCAUGUGAAGUGUCUUCGACGAGUCGAGUUGUUUGGGAAUGCAGCUCAAAAUGGGUGGUAAACUCCAUCUAAGGCUAAAUAUUGGCGAGAGACCGAUAGCGCACAAGUAGAGUGAUCGAAAGAUGAAAAGCACUUUGAAAAGAGAGUUAAACAGUACGUGAAAUUGUUGAAAGGGAAGCGCUUGAGACCAGACUCGGUAAUUGGUGAUCAGCGGUAGCUUCUGCUCCGUGCACUUGCCUUUUACUGGGCCAGCAUCAGUUGCGACGGCUGGAUAAAGGCUCAGGGAAUGUGGCUCUCUUCNGGGAGUGUUAUAGCCCUGGGUGUAAUGNUGCCUGCCGCGACUGAGGACCGCGCUNCGGCUAGGAUGNUGGCAUAAUGNUCUUC
RNAcentral lists this ribosomal RNA (544 nucleotides) under Plectania rhytidia. RNAcentral's name for it is "eukaryotic LSU rRNA". It matches the Rfam family "Eukaryotic large subunit ribosomal RNA", at positions 86 to 642 of the family's 3401-position model. Lineage: Eukaryota; Fungi; Ascomycota; Pezizomycetes; Pezizales; Sarcosomataceae. The record is from RNAcentral.